Triticum aestivum (bread wheat) is the source of this 1118-nucleotide long non-coding RNA. RefSeq lists it as uncharacterized. The record is from RefSeq and is a predicted model, not a curated record. Lineage: Eukaryota; Viridiplantae; Streptophyta; Magnoliopsida; Poales; Poaceae. The transcript is spliced from 2 exons.
CUCAUCUCCCCCUCCAGAAGCCUCCCCGUCGCCGCUCGCCCACGGGAGCACUGUGGCCGACAGCGCAUUAAUGGCGCCCGGCCUCUUCCUCUGCCCUUCCAUUGGCUCCUGCUGCCCCGUGCACUCUGUAGCUUGUCCGCGUUCUCCCUCGUCGCGUUCCCGCGCCUCCCCGUGAUCGCUGCCAUAGCCAGGGACUCGGCCGGACGUGCCCGGCGGCACCCGAGCCCGUGCCUCUCGCUCCAGCUAUUUAUAGCCCCUCCCCUGGCCUCCCGAGCAUCACCGCGACCUCUACCCACUCCCCCACGACUCCCUGCCCACUAGCCCGAGCUCCAGAAGCUCUCCUCAACCCCCAUAGCCGCCACCUCAGCUCGGCUAAAUUAGCCCGAAGCCGAGCCUCCCCCUCCUCUUCUCCACCACCAGCGACCUCCAUCACCACCUCGGAGCCACCCUAACACCUCAUCCCCUCCUCCGGUGGCCUCUAGCCGCAACCCAUCACCGCCCGGAGCCGCCGUCCACUGCAGCCGCAACCUUGCUCGACGCCGUCCUCCCCGUGGUGUGUAGACGCUCCAGGCGGGUGCGGCUCAUCUCCCUAAGCACGUCGAUAUGCUGCACGGCUCGGGGGAUGGCUGAAGUCGGCCAGGCAAGCGCCGGUGCCGGAGGCCUCUCUCUGGACCGCGGGCGAGGUCGGGGAGAAGAUGAAGGCGAUGACCUCUCCCCUCUAGCUGGCUGUGGACCCUGCGGGCCCCAGGCGUGAGCGACCCAGAGGCCGGCCCCGCCCCGCCGAUGUGGAUAUGUGGACACGGCUUUUGCCGUCUAUGCUUUCAUCCACCGAAAGCAUAUUUCCUCGAGUAUUGCAGGUGAUGCCGUGAUUUCUUGAUUGCUUGUUGUGGCUUCCGUUCGUGCGAGCUAGAUCAUGUCCCAGCCAGAGUCCCUGCGGAGUGUAGUUCACCACCUUCCUCGUUGUUCCACUGCUAGAAGAUUUCCGCUGCUUUGAGUUGUUCCGCUGCUAGCAUAGAGCAAGUGUAGUACCGCAGGCGUAGUGUCUCUAUGCUGAUGUGAUUCAUUGUAACAUCAGACCCUGUAUUAUUAUUCUUUAAUAAGAGAUGAUUUGUUCUAUA